This is a long non-coding RNA of Lolium rigidum, 473 nucleotides long. RefSeq lists it as uncharacterized. The transcript is spliced from 3 exons. NCBI's taxonomy places the organism in Eukaryota, Viridiplantae, Streptophyta, Magnoliopsida, Poales, Poaceae. The record is from RefSeq and is a predicted model, not a curated record.
UAAAAUUUAUUUUAAAUUAUUGUAUGAACUAUGCUAUUUGAAUAGCAAGUAAAUCUAUUGAGCCAACUGUGAUUUGCCUUUUCUUUUACCUACAACACUAAAUUGCCCCUCUUCUUCCUCGGCAAAAUAUAUGCCGGUUCUGUAGCAAUGGUCGCGAGAAGGACCAUGCACUCCAUCAUGAGCACUGACAGUGCCCUUGGCGACGAAACAACGCGAUCUGCUUCAUCAACCAACAACCAGAUAACGAACACUAUGUUCUAAAAAGUGCAGAGCCAUGUGUCUCAAAUCUGAAACACGGUGGAAGAUUUAGGAGGAGGCUUGUAGUCUCUAAAAACAUACUCUGAUGCAUAUCUGUAAUCGAAGAAGCCAAUAACAUGUGGUCAUCUGAAGUUUACUUGAAAAUGAAGGCUAAUCAUCCAUUUCAAUAAAGGGAGCGAUUGUACCCACCUGAGCUACAUCGUCAGGGAUCAGCU